GACGAACGCUGGCGGCGUGCUUAACACAUGCAAGUCGAACGCUGAAGACCUGGCUUUUGUUGGGUUGGAUGAGUGGCGAACGGGUGAGUAACACGUGAGUAACCUGCCCUCUUCUUUGGGAUAACGCCCGGAAACGGGUGCUAAUACUGGAUAUUCACUGGCCUUCGCAUGGGGGUUGGUGGAAAGGUUUGUUCUGGUGGGGGAUGGGCUCGCGGCCUAUCAGCUUGUUGGUGGGGUGAUGGCCUACCAAGGCUUUGACGGGUAGCCGGCCUGAGAGGGUGACCGGUCACAUUGGGACUGAGAUACGGCCCAGACUCCUACGGGAGGCAGCAGUGGGGAAUAUUGCACAAUGGGCGAAAGCCUGAUGCAGCGACGCCGCGUGAGGGAUGGAGGCCUUCGGGUUGUAAACCUCUUUCGCUCAUGGUCAAGCCGCAACUGUGGGUUGUGGUGAGGGUAGUGGGUAAAGAAGCGCCGGCUAACUACGUGCCAGCAGCCGCGGUAAUACGUAGGGCGCGAGCGUUGUCCGGAAUUAUUGGGCGUAAAGGGCUUGUAGGCGGUUGGUCGCGUCUGCCGUGAAAUUCUCUGGCUUAACUGGGGGCGUGCGGUGGGUACGGGCUGACUUGAGUGCGGUAGGGGAGACUGGAACUCCUGGUGUAGCGGUGGAAUGCGCAGAUAUCAGGAAGAACACCGGUGGCGAAGGCGGGUCUCUGGGCCGUUACUGACGCUGAGGAGCGGAAGCGUGGGGAGCGAACAGG
Molecule: ribosomal RNA, 755 nt
Filed under: uncultured Actinomyces sp.
Lineage: Bacteria; Bacillati; Actinomycetota; Actinomycetes; Actinomycetales; Actinomycetaceae
Description: bacterial SSU rRNA
Rfam family: Bacterial small subunit ribosomal RNA
Source: RNAcentral